CAGGAUUAGAUACCCUGGUAGUCCACGCCGUAAACGAUGCUAACUCGUUUUUGGGUUUUCGGAUUCAGAGACUAAGCGAAAGUGAUAAGUUAGCCACCUGGGGAGUACGUUCGCAAGAAUGAAACUCAAAGGAAUUGACGGGGGCCCGCACAAGCGGUGGAUUAUGUGGUUUAAUUCGAUGAUACGCGAGGAACCUUACCAAGGCUUAAAUGGGAAUUGAUCGGUUUAGAAAUAGACCUUCCUUCGGGCAAUUUUCAAGGUGCUGCAUGGUUGUCGUCAGCUCGUGCCGUGAGGUGUUAGGUUAAGUCCUGCAACGAGCGCAACCCCUGUUACUAGUUGCUACCAUUAAGUUGAGGACUCUAGUAAGACUGCCUACGCAAGUAGAGAGGAAGGUGGGGAUGACGUCAAAUCAUCACGGCCCUUACGCCUUGGGCCACACACGUAAUACAAUGGCAGGUACAGAGGGCAGCUACACAGCGAUGUGAUGCGAAUCUCGAAAGCCUGUCUCAGUUCGGAUUGGAGUCUGCAACUCGACUCUAUGAAGCUGGAAUCGCUAGUAAUCGCGCAUCAGCCAUGGCGCGGUGAAUACGUUCCCGGGCCUUGUACACACCGCCCGUCAAGCCAUGGAAGUCUGGGGUACCUGAAGUCGGUGACCGUAAAAAGGAGCUGCCUAGGGUAAAACANGUAACUAGGGCUAANUCGUAAC
Molecule: ribosomal RNA, 706 nt
Filed under: Chryseobacterium sp.
Lineage: Bacteria; Pseudomonadati; Bacteroidota; Flavobacteriia; Flavobacteriales; Weeksellaceae
Description: bacterial SSU rRNA
Rfam family: Bacterial small subunit ribosomal RNA
Source: RNAcentral